CAGCAGCCGCGGUAAUACCGGCGGCCCGAGUGGCGGCCACUAUUAUUGGGCCUAAAGCGUCCGUAGCCGGGUUGGGAAGUCCUCCGGGAAAUCUGGCCGCUUAACGGUCAGAAUGCCGGAGGAUACUCCCAGCCUAGGGAGCGGGAGAGGCCGAGGGUAUUCCCGGAGUAGGGGUGAAAUCCUAUAAUCCCGGGAGGACCACCUGUGGCGAAGGCGCUCGGCUGGAACGCGUCCGACGGUGAGGGACGAAGGCCAGGGGAGCAAACCGGAUUAGAUACCCGGGUAGUCCUGGCUGUAAACGAUGCGGACUUUGUGUCGGACAAGCUAUGAGCUUGUCCGGUGCCGGAGGGAAACCGUUAAGUCCGCCGCCUGGGGAGUACGGCCGCAAGGCUGAAACUUAAAGGAAUUGGCGGG
RNAcentral lists this ribosomal RNA (414 nucleotides) under uncultured microorganism. Its description in RNAcentral is "bacterial SSU rRNA". It matches the Rfam family "Archaeal small subunit ribosomal RNA", at positions 459 to 872 of the family's 1478-position model. The record is from RNAcentral.